Molecule: long non-coding RNA, 1257 nt
Organism: Bombyx mori (domestic silkworm)
Lineage: Eukaryota; Metazoa; Arthropoda; Insecta; Lepidoptera; Bombycidae
Exons: 2
Source: RefSeq, a predicted model, not a curated record
CAAUUAUUUAUUAAUUACAGGCACAAGCUGGUAUAAGAAUGUCGUUUUUGUAUUUUCGGGUGCAUUUGGAUAGGAAUUUGAAAAUUAACUUUUAAUGUUAAAUUAAAAUUACAUUAUUUCUAGUAAGUUUUAAGGCAAUCCUGCAUUCAAUGAAAUUUAAUAAUCUUAUACCUUUAAACGAGCAAUUCUUGUAUAUUAAUAUAUAUAUAAUCUGAAUCUCGGAAACGGAUUCAACGAUUUUCAUAAAAUUUAGUAGGGUAAAACCUGGAUAGAUGCCGCAGCGGGAUAGAUGCCUCAUGUUCUAAAAACCUAACUUCCCGCACUCAUGACAAAAAAAUAAUUUAAUAAGUAGGAACCACAGUCACCCCAUACCUCAUGUACCAUUUGACAAUCGCGUGGUGACGAAGUGUUUUCCUCGUGGAUGUAAUUUUCUCCGCGCGGAAUUUCACGAACACGUCAAAGAUUUAAAGGUUAGUAUUUAGCGUGGUAUAACUUUAUAAUUAGUGUAAAAUUCCAUUAUAUUUUUUACUACGUGAAUAUAUUGGUUCAUUGAGUCUGCAUCUAAGUGUAAAUAAAUGCUAUUAUGUUUAUAAUUUAUUUACAAAAAAUUUGGGUAUCUAUCCUUAUCACAAAGGAUAGUUGCCCUGAUUUUUUGGGGCAUAGGUGCCUUUAGGGGCAUCUAUCCCUCCAUACUCUGCCAUUUCAGAAUAUAGCAGAAAUAUGCCACGAAAACAUAAAACACAAACAAAUGAUUUACCUACAGUUCAAGCAGCGAAGAUGAAGACAAUCCACUUUACUAUAAAAUGAAAGGAAAUAAAACAAUAGAUUUGCCCCUAAAGAAAUCUAAGGGAUAAACCUAACCUAAAACGCAUAACUAGCUACAUGAAACGUGUUUUUCAGAAAUGAUGUAAAAGAUGUGGAAAAUUGAAAGCACUAUCCAGUAAACUUCAAUUGGACAAAAUAUUAAAGAUAUUUGUUUUUUAUUGUGUUAAUUUAAUAUAAAAAAAAAUGAUUUUGCAAUGUACACAUUGACACUUAAUGUGAAUAUUUUAUAAACAAUUAAAAAUUUAUAUUUUUGUUGAAUAACAAUUUGUAAAAUUUAAUUUAAUAAAAAAAUUGGAUAAUGCAUGUUGAAACUAAAAAAAUUGUAGUUUAGCUUACGCUUACUUAACGAUUUAAAAAAUUAAUUAUGAUCAUUUGUGUGAUAUGAGAAUUUUCUUUUAAUUAUAAACAUUCAAAGACUUAAAAAAUACAAAA